Molecule: ribosomal RNA, 468 nt
Filed under: uncultured bacterium
Lineage: Bacteria
Description: partial 16S ribosomal RNA
Rfam family: Bacterial small subunit ribosomal RNA
Source: RNAcentral
UCCAGACUCCUACGGGAGGCAGCAGUGAGGAAUAUUGGUCAAUGGGCGAGAGCCUGAACCAGCCAAGUCGCGUGAGGGAAGACGGUCCUAUGGAUUGUAAACCUCUUUUGUCGGGGAGCAAAAAGGCCUCGUGAGGCCACAAGUGAGAGUACCCGAAGAAAAAGCAUCGGCUAACUCCGUGCCAGCAGCCGCGGUAAUACGGAGGAUGCGAGCGUUAUCCGGAUUUAUUGGGUUUAAAGGGUGCGUAGGCGGUAGGUCAAGUCAAGGGUGAAAUCCCCGCGCUCAACGUGGGAACUGCCUUUGAAACUGGCAAACUGGAGUGUGUGAGAGGAUAGUGGAAUUCCAGGUGUAGGAGUGAAAUCCGUAGAUAUCUGGAGGAACAUCAGUGGCGAAGGCGACUAUCUGGCACAUAACUGACGCUGAGGAGCGAAAGCGUGGGUAGCAAACAGGAUUAGAUACCCCUGUAGU